GGGAUGAGCUCAAAUUUGAAAUCUGGCGUCUUUCAGGCGUCCGAGUUGUAAUCUAUAGAGGCGUUUUCCGCGCCGGACCGCGUCCAAGUCUCUUGGAAUAGAGUAUCAAAGAGGGUGACAAUCCCGUACUUGACGCGACAACCGGUGCUCUGUGAUACGUUCUCAAUGAGUCGAGUUGUUUGGGAAUGCAGCUCUAAAUGGGUGGUAAAUUCCAUCUAAGGCUAAAUAUUGGCGAGAGACCGAUAGCGAACAAGUACCGUGAGGGAAAGAUGAAAAGCACUUUGGAAAGAGAGUUAAACAGCACGUGAAAUUGUUAAAAGGGAAACGAUUGAAGUCAGUCGUGUGGGAAGUAUUCAGCCGUCUCUGGCGGUGUAUUUGCUUCUCACGGGUCAACAUCAGUUUGAUCCGGUAGAAAAAGGCGGGAAGAAGGUGGCACCCUCGGGUGUGUUAUAGCUUCCUGUCAUAUGUGCCGGACCAGACUGAGGAACGCAGCUUGCAGCAAUGCCGGGGUUCGCCCACGUACAAGCUUAGGAUGUUGACAUAAUGGCUUUAAACGACCCG
This 561-nucleotide ribosomal RNA is filed under the name Vishniacozyma carnescens. RNAcentral's name for it is "partial large subunit ribosomal RNA". It matches the Rfam family "Eukaryotic large subunit ribosomal RNA", at positions 100 to 651 of the family's 3401-position model. Lineage: Eukaryota; Fungi; Basidiomycota; Tremellomycetes; Tremellales; Bulleribasidiaceae. The record is from RNAcentral.